AGGGGACCUGUGGACUCAGCAGAGGGAACAGAAAAUGGAAAAGUGCUGAGAGGCUGUGGGUCCACGACCGAGGUUCCGCAGAGUCCGUGUUUGGUGAGAGCUUGGGACUUGGAGGCUGGGGUCGAAGUCCACAGCUUGCUGAAAUCUCGCUGUUGCAUCGAGCCUGCUCUUCAGCCGUGAAUGAGUUAACCAGAAGGCGCCAGGUCUUCCAAUACAGAAGCAAUCCAGCACCGGAAGCAACACCAGCCAAGAUUGGUAUCUGUUUAUUCCUGAUGCUUGAGACAUAUUUGUUAUAUGUGCUUUUUAUUGAAGGAGCUUUUUUCAUAGAUAACUCGAUACAAAUUAUU
Molecule: long non-coding RNA, 347 nt
Organism: Heterocephalus glaber (naked mole-rat)
Lineage: Eukaryota; Metazoa; Chordata; Mammalia; Rodentia; Bathyergidae
Source: RefSeq, a predicted model, not a curated record